UUACGGAAAUUAUCGCUCAUCCGUGUUAUGCGGACUGUGCGUUUUAUCGUCAAGGAUGUGGAUAGCAUUCCUUCGCGAGGACUUCCGCGGUUUAUCUAAAGCGGUUCUAUUUCCGGAAUAUCAACGUUGCAUUCCUUCAUCUUUCAUCGUCGUCACCGACAUCGACAUCGUCAUCGGCGUCAUUUUUCAUCCUGCGGAUUUGCUAUGCUUGCUUCGCAAUUGCUGCGAUGCGACGCGGGAAAUGCGACGGACUAAUUACCAAUCCAAUAAAUCAUCGAGGUAAAUAACAGCGACGAUUCGUCACGUGUGUGAUCAGAAUUAGUCUCGUUCGUUAUAUUCGAUAUUACACAAGCACGCGUUACGAUUCAACGUGUUUCGUACCCGCCUACCAAACGACAGAUAAUGCGAUGAUUAGAGUUUACGUAACAUAAUACAAAGCUGUGCGUAACAGAAUCCGAAGCGAUCUGAUGAAUUUCAUUUAACAUUCAUAUUUAUUUUCAUCAUUUUAUUCGUCUUUAAACGCAGCCUGCUGCAACCGGUACUUUUCUUCCAUCUCAGUAUUCAGUGAUCAACCGAAUGAAAUAAUUUUCUAAUUAGCAUAAAUUUGAUAAUACGACGUAAAGAUCUCCGUUUAAACUGUCCCUCAUAAAGAUUUAUAAAUACGCGUAUGAGGUUACGAAAAUAAGUAAUUAUGAAUCAACGCAUAACUGAAUAAAUAAAUUUAUGAACACCUAGACACUGUGCUAAGCGGUAGUUACGAUCUCGUCGAGAAUCCACGAACAGCGACCGGCGCCUUGGCAGUGUGGUUAGCUGGUUGUGUGAUCUAUUUUAUAAACACGACCGCUAUCGGCACUGCAGCUGUGACGGUCGCAUUACUGCAGAUGUAUUGUAAUGUAUUAUUCCAAUUUACGUCAUAUUUCGAAAUGCAACUAAUGCAGCAGCACCAGCAGCAGAUGCCAGAAACAGAUAAUCAACCGUAUCGAGAAAAAAAUCUGAUCAAUGAUCCAACAGUAUCUA
RNAcentral lists this long non-coding RNA (1017 nucleotides) under Neodiprion pinetum (white pine sawfly). Its description in RNAcentral is "uncharacterized LOC124222847". The stretch from base 781 to 874 matches the Rfam family "mir-449 microRNA precursor family". Lineage: Eukaryota; Metazoa; Arthropoda; Insecta; Hymenoptera; Diprionidae. The record is from RNAcentral.